GCCGCAGUACCCUGACUGUGCUAAGGUAGCAUAAUCAAUAGGCUUAUAAUUGAAGUCUGGUAUGAAGGAAAAUUUGGGAGCUAACUGUCUCUUUGGGAAUAUUUGAAUUUUUUUAUAAAGUGCAAAAACUUUAAAUUAAUUAUUAGACGAGAAGACCCUAGAAAUUUUUUAAAUUAUUUUGUUGGGGCGACAA
RNAcentral lists this ribosomal RNA (193 nucleotides) under Praticolella mexicana. RNAcentral describes it as "partial 16S ribosomal RNA". It matches the Rfam family "Archaeal large subunit ribosomal RNA", at positions 2007 to 2351 of the family's 2987-position model. Lineage: Eukaryota; Metazoa; Mollusca; Gastropoda; Stylommatophora; Polygyridae. The record is from RNAcentral.